GUCUCUUUUUUAUCUCCUCGAAUUCUGUGCCACCAACAAAUCCCCAGUCUGAAUGAACGUCAGCUGGAUCAAUGUGAGAUGCAGAGAGACAUCAUAGCCAUUUGAUCUUGGUGAAAUUCUAGCAAGAUGCCCAGAAAACCCACCUCAUCUUCUCUGAAAGCAGCAAGAGUCAAGACCUUAGAAGAAAACUACACCUGGCUUUCGUGUUGACAUUUGCAAAGGUGCAGCUUAGAAAACAAAACAAACAAAAAAAAUCGAGCAAACAAACAAAUAUCCAAUUCACCCCAGGAAACAAGACUUCCAGGUGACUUUCAUAUGAAAAUAACUUAGGAAAUACGGAUUAAUACUGAGAAAAAAAUUAGGCCAGAUGUUCAGCUGGUGUCAGCCAGCACAAUCCCUCUGACAGCCUGCCCACUUACACCAGGCAGACGCAGCUCAGCCACAUGGCCAGCAAUUUCAUCACAAAGCAGAGAAGACAAAGUUGUAAAGGCCCCAUAAAGUCAUAGUAUGGGGUUUAUUUGAGUGUGAUCUGUUGCCACGUAUCUAGACACCAAUGACAGAUUCAUCUCACCUGACUUCUACAGGUAGGCUGCUACAUCCCAGCGAGUCAAGCCAGAAGAAGUCACCCCAAUCAGCAUCAAGCAGAUGUCAGAAAUGUUUCCAAAUGCAUCAGGCACCAGAAGAAUCCAUUUCUCCUCAUUAACUGGAAAGGGAG
This is a long non-coding RNA of Cygnus olor (mute swan), 715 nucleotides long. RefSeq lists it as uncharacterized. Lineage: Eukaryota; Metazoa; Chordata; Aves; Anseriformes; Anatidae. The record is from RefSeq and is a predicted model, not a curated record. The transcript has 2 exons.